RNAcentral lists this long non-coding RNA (605 nucleotides) under Anas platyrhynchos platyrhynchos (common mallard). Its description in RNAcentral is "lncRNA (ENSAPLG00000018702.1)". The record is from RNAcentral. Lineage: Eukaryota; Metazoa; Chordata; Aves; Anseriformes; Anatidae.
CCUUAAUUACGUUUCUGUGGUUGUUGUGGUGGUUAUGAGUUAAAAAUAAGCCGCGCCUUCGCUUUCCCAGUGGGGGGCCGAGUUUUGCUUUAAUUGCCUCUGUUUGAAUCAAUUUAGGCUCAAUUAUGCUCCUCCUUUCGGUGUAAUGGAGACGCCUGUGCCUGUCUGGCCAAAGCCCUGCAGCAGGCCGAGUGCUGGGCCUCCAUCAUGGCUGGCCUCACGAGGACAUCUCACUGUCAUUUUCCUGUGUUGCUGGGAUCUAAGACCAGACUCAUCAGCAAGCAAAAGACUGAUUCUGAGACCUCUGCUUCAGUUGCUUGGAUCCAUGGCCACAAUUAGAGAACUAGCCAUCGGCUGGAUUUUUCAGAGGUUUAAAAUAAUAAAGCACUUCUCAAUUUUCAGCUGACCUCUGGGAGGUUCACUUUUUCUCCCUUGAAAGUAGCACAAACCCAACACUUACAUCUUGGUCUUUUAACAACACGCGAGCUGUUUCUCAUCCUCAGCUCUUGCAAAAAUGGAAAAAUAUGGAGUGGAGGAGGAUUGCUGAAAAGUGGCACUGAUGAGUAGUGGUUCUUUUGUGAAGGAUGGUUGAGGCUUUUCUAACA